GACGAACGCUGGCGGCGUGCCUAAUACAUGCAAGUAGAACGCUGAAGAGAGGAGCUUGCUCUUCUUGGAUGAGUUGCGAACGGGUGAGUAACGCGUAGGUAACCUGCCUUGUAGCGGGGGAUAACUAUUGGAAACGAUAGCUAAUACCGCAUAACAAUGGAUGACACAUGUCAUUUAUUUGAAAGGGGCAAUUGCUCCACUACAAGAUGGACCUGCGUUGUAUUAGCUAGUAGGUGAGGUAACGGCUCACCUAGGCGACGAUACAUAGCCGACCUGAGAGGGUGAUCGGCCACACUGGGACUGAGACACGGCCCAGACUCCUACGGGAGGCAGCAGUAGGGAAUCUUCGGCAAUGGGGGCAACCCUGACCGAGCAACGCCGCGUGAGUGAAGAAGGUUUUCGGAUCGUAAAGCUCUGUUGUAAGUCAAGAACGAGUGUGAGUGUGGAAAGUUCACACUGUGACGGUAGCUUACCAGAAAGGGACGGCUAACUACGUGCCAGCAGCCGCGGUAAUACGUAGGUCCCGAGCGUUGUCCGGAUUUAUUGGGCGUAAAGCGAGCGCAGGCGGUUUGAUAAGUCUGAAGUUAAAGGCUGUGGCUCAACCAUAGUUCGCUUUGGAAACUGUCAAACUUGAGUGCAGAAGGGGAGAGUGGAAUUCCAUGUGUAGCGGUGAAAUGCGUAGAUAUAUGGAGGAACACCGGUGGCGAAAGCGGCUCUCUGGUCUGUAACUGACGCUGAGGCUCGAAAGCGUGGGGAGCGAACAGG
This 765-nucleotide ribosomal RNA is filed under the name uncultured Streptococcus sp. RNAcentral's name for it is "bacterial SSU rRNA". It matches the Rfam family "Bacterial small subunit ribosomal RNA", at positions 28 to 776 of the family's 1533-position model. Lineage: Bacteria; Bacillati; Bacillota; Bacilli; Lactobacillales; Streptococcaceae. The record is from RNAcentral.